RNAcentral lists this long non-coding RNA (5873 nucleotides) under Cinara cedri. The record is from RNAcentral. Lineage: Eukaryota; Metazoa; Arthropoda; Insecta; Hemiptera; Aphididae.
CCUACAGCUUACAACACAAAGGGACCCUUUUACGAUCAAUACCUAUUUUAUUUGGUUACAUCACUCAUACGGUCUCACACACUCACACCACUCAUACCAUUGUUCGCUUUCCCAGUUCAUGUCAUUUAGAAUACGAAACGGUGAUGGUAAGACGUAGAUAUAGUCUCUCUGAGAGACUAUAUAAAUACUCUACUCUCUAGUGCUUUAAUACUAGAUUACAACUUAUCUACCCGCUACUACAAAUAUCUGUGCUACUUAGUAAGUAUGAGUGAGCUAUUAUUUAAUUUAAUUUAAUUAACUAUAGUAAUUAAUAUAUUACCAUGUUUUAUAAUAUCUAUUAUUACCAUGAUUUUAGGUAAAACACGCGAUUGAAAUUCAAACAGUAAAUAUUCAUCACAGACCAUAGUAUAAUCUUAUGACUCAUGGGAAAUUCAUGGAUUUCAGAUUUGUGGUUAACGUGCAUGAUUCUGCUCUGAUAUGCGGUCUUCAUAUAGGUAUAUAAAAUAUAUAAUAAUAAUAUAAUAUUAAAAAACCAACCUGGCAGUGUUAUAUUAUAUAAUAGAGCAUCGUGUAUAGGCACACUAAUGAAUAAUAAUUUACAAAAAUUAAAAUUUCAAACAAAACAAUUAAAUAGUAAAAUAAACAAAUAUAAAUUGGUUGCUAUUGUGUUUAGGACAAUUUACCAUAAUAUUAUUAUAUUGGAGUGCACUUGAAAGUAAAUAAUAUAUUCAAUUAGUUAAACUCAUAAAACAUUCCAUCCUUCUCUUACAUGUUAGUGAAAUAUAUUUAAACAACAGAAAUGUUAAUAAAAUUUAAUAUUUUGGUAUAUGUAUUUUAUUAUUAAUUAUACGGGAGUACAGAACGACAGAAAAAAAUAAGGUGAUAAAAUAUUUUAGUAUUAAUUUUUAUUAGAUAGAGUGAUUUUAGGUUGGAGAGAGUAUUUGUUAGACGCAUUAAACAGUCAAGAGGUUAAUUGCUGCAGUAAUUUGUAGUACGUUUGGGUACUACAUAAGGGGUGAGGGAGUGAGUGGAGUGCUGAAGAACUCGGAAAUUAAUACAAGAGAGGAAGGAAGGUACAUCAAACGAGUAGUCGUGAAUGGGGUGGGGAAUAUUCAAAGUAAACCAGCGAAGGACAGAUUUUAUUAUUUUAAAAUUGGUUAUACUCAAUAUGCAAUAGAGCAUUAUCAUGAAUCAUGAUCAAAUUUGACCCUAAUUACUUUCUUAAAUGAGAGAAGAAGGUGACAGUCAUAGUUUAUAAUUAACUUGUACAUCUAGAAUUGAUAUGGUCAAAACGAUUAGCACUGCAUCACUGUAGUACCAGUGUACCAGUACUACCUUGAACAACACAUGUGUGAUCGAGAGAACUAAUAGUAUCAAUUUUCUAUUAGACAUUAGGUAUUGCAUAGAGUAUUUAAAUCAUAUGAUAUUGGUACAAAUUUCCAAUUGUAUACACGUAACUAUAAAUCUAUAAUACAGUUGUAAUCAAGUUGUUAGUUCUCAUUAUAGAAGGCAAAUUAGAAAGGGUUUCCAAAAUUCACUUAAACGAUAGUGGAAGGCUUCAUUAUCUCUUCUGAUGGUUUGAUUAAGCCUCAUUUUUUAAAUUUAUAUAUAUAUAUAUAGUUAUGGCUGGGGUGACGAAGUGAAUUAGGAUUAAUUGAUAAAUAUUAAUAAAAUAUUAUUUGCAUGAGUUUGUUUGUAUGCAAUAUCAGGAUCAUAAAUUACAUACAAAUUGUGGGGGGGGGGGGGGCUAUAAAAUAGCUAAACUGUUCAAAAUAUUAAACCGGCUGUAUUUUUGCUUAAAUACCUAGUUAUUAACUAGUAAGUUUCUUAAUAUUGUUUUGUAAGAUUACUGUUGUAUUUUAAUUUUAUAAAAUUAAAACUUCUAGUAUGGAAUAUACUCUAUCAACUUCCAAUUCCACCUGUUGCAUCAAAUACAUUUCUAGUUGUACUGUAAUUUCCUAUUUCAGUCUUUGAUAUACAACAUGACGAAACUAAGCAAUAUUGCGAGGUAUAGAUAAAAUUUAUCAUCAUAAAUGAUUUUUUUUUUUAUAUAGAAUUACAAACAUUAACAAAAAAAACUACAAUAAUAUUGUUAUUGGCUGAUAUUGAAAAAUAAAAGUAUAGAAAUUAGAAUAUUAAACUGACAGCCAUCUAGACAUUAUCACACAUUAUUUGUUUAGGUUUUUUAAUGUCAGCUGUAAUAUUUUUUGUUUUAAUGAUUGGUAACAAUAUUUUUUAGCUAAUUUAUUUUUAUUAUUUAAUGUAAACCCCACACAAAUGAGUAACUGAAGAAAGAUGAAAAGCAGACCAAACUUAUCAACUAACUUGUAAAUCUAUGGAAUAAACUUUUUUGCAUAUUGUUUACUCCAUCAUGAGGAGUGGCUCAUGGUUAGGUCUCUUUACUUUAUGUUGAUAUUAGAUUUUUCACUACUCAAUGUCUUUCUCUUUAUAUGUAGAAUGUAUAUGGAUACAAAAUAUUAAAUAUUUAUGUAGGUUCUAGUUAUUUUAUAACUACUGAUGAUAACAAGUAAAUUUGUCAGUAUCCACCCAGUGAACAUUUCUUUUCAGAAAAAGUCCUAUAAAUGAUAAUCUGAGUAAACUUUCUGGUAGAAAAAGAGUUUAAAUAAAAAAAAAUUAAUGUAAAACCAAUAUAUAUCUAGAAAAUAGACUAAUAUCUAAUUUAAUAAUACUAAUGUCUCAAAACUUAAAAAUAAUUAAUUAAUAACAUUUAAUCUGGUUAUAGAUGUGAUGGAAAUUAAAACUGCAACUUCUAUGUAUACCUACAAUUAUGUGUCUUUCAACAGUGAAUAAGCACUGUAGCAAGUUGGGUUUGUUGUUCUUCUGUCAACCACCAAUCUAGAAUGUGAUCUCAAAUUAUAUUGAAAAAUAUUGGUUCAUUAUGGUAAAUAUGGUCUAAGAAAAGUUAAAUGUAUUGUGCUAAAAGCGCUAAGAACUUCUAAUAAUUAUGGUGGAAAUUUAUUACAAGUUUAUACAUAUAAUUAUCAAUUCUUCUAUAUAUAUUGUAGUGUAAAUGAACCAGAAAUACUUUACACUUGUGUUUUAUCAACUGUUUAUAAUAUUGCUACUUAAAAACUACCAAACAAACUGCACAAGAUGGAUCUGUUCACUCACAAAAAGCAAUACUUUUUCAAAUAUAUAUGAACAUAUUAUUAAAAGUUCAUGAAAGUGGUUGUGCAUGGGGUGUAAAGGGACUUUAUAUCCCAUGGACAACCACUUAUAUAUCUUUCAAUGAAAAUGAUCCAGAAAUAUUUAAAACUUGUGUUUUAUCAAUUGUUUAUAGUAUUUCGACUUGUAAACUAUUAAACAAACUGGACAAGGUGAAUCUGUUCACAACCUGAAAUACUUACACAAAUAUAAGUGAACAUAUUAUUGAGAGUUCAUGAAAGUGGGUGUGCAUGGGAUGAAAAGGGACUUCUCAUCCCAUGGACAUCCACUUAUAUAUCUCUCAGUGAAAAUGAUCCAGAAAUACUUAAAACUACCAAACAAACUGAAAAAGAUGGAUCUGUUCACACCCUGAAAUACUUACUCAAAUAUAAGUGAACAUAUUAUUAAAAGUUCAUGAAAGUGGUUGUGCAUGGGGUGAAAAGGGACUUCUCAUCCCAUGGACAACCACUUAUAUAUCUUUCAAUGAAAAUGAUCCAGAAAUAUUUAAAACUUGUGUUUUAUCAAUUGUUUAUAGUAUUUCGACUUGUAAACUAUUAAACAAACUGGACAAGGUGAAUCUGUUCACAACCUGAAAUACUUACACAAAUAUAAGUGAACAUAUUAUUGAGAGUUCAUGAAAGUGGGUGUGCAUGGGAUGAAAAGGGACUUCUCAUCCCAUGGACAUCCACUUAUAUAUCUCUCAGUGAAAAUGAUCCAGAAAUACUGAAAACUACCAAACACACUGGACGAGAUGGAUCUGUUCACAACCUGAAAUACUUACUCAAAUAUAAGUGAACAUAUUAUUGAAAGUUCAUGAAAGUGGGUGUGCAUGGGAUGAAAAGGGACUUCUCGUUCCAUGGACAUCCACUUAUAUAUCUUUCAAUGAAAAUGAUCCAGAAAUAUUUAAAACUUGUGUUUUAUCAAUUGUUUAUAGUAUUUCUACUUGUAAACUAUUAAACAAACUGCACAAGAUGGAUCCGUUCACCCACAACAUAAAACACUUACUCAAAUAUAGGUGAACAUAUUAUUGAAAGUUCAUGAAAGUGGGUGUGCAUGGGAUGAAAAGGGACUUCUCGUCCCAUGGACAUCCACUUAUAUAUCUUUCAGUGAAAAUGAACCAGAAAUACUUGACACUUGUGUUUUAUCAAUUAUAAUAUUUCUACUUGAAAAAGGCCAAACAAACUGCACAAGAUGGAUCUGUUCACUCACAACAUGAAACACUCAAAUAUAUAUGAACAUAUUAUUAAAAGUUCAUGAAAGUGGUUGUGCAUGGGGUGUAAAGGGACUUUAUAUUCCAUGGACAACCACUUAUAUAUCUUUCAAUGAAAAUGAUCCAGAAAUAUUUAAAACUUGUGUUUUAUCAAUUGUUUAAAGUAUUUCUACUUGUAAACUAUUAAACAAACUGCACAAGAUGGAUCUAUUCACUCACAACAUGAAAUACUUACUCAAAUAUAUGUGAACUUAUUAUUGAAAAUUCAUGAAAGUGGGUGUGCAUGGGAUGAAAAGGGACUUCUCGUCCCAUGGACAUCCACUUAUAUAUCUUUCAAUGAAAAUGAUCCAGAAAUAUUUAAAACUUGUGUUUUAUCAAUUGUUUAAAGUAUUUCUACUUGUAAACUAUUAAACAAACUGCACAAGAUGGAUCUAUUCACUCACAACAUGAAAUACUUACUCAAAUAUAUGUGAGCUUAUUAUUGAAAAUUCAUGAAAGUGGGUGUGCAUGGGAUGAAAAGGGACUUCUCAUCCCAUGGACAUCCACUUAUAUAUCGCUCAGUGAAAAUGAUCCAGAAAUACAGAAAACUACCAAACACACUGGACGAGAUGGAUCUGUUCACAACCUGAAAUACUUACUCAAAUAUAAGUGAACAUAUUAUUAAAAGUUCAUGAAAGUGGUUGUGCAUGGGGUGUAAAGGGACUUUAUAUCCCAUGGACAACCACUUAUAUAUCUUUCAAUGAAAAUGAUCCAGAAAUAUUUAAAACUUGUGUUUUAUCAAUUGUUUAUAGUAUUUCGACUUGUAAACUAUUAAACAAACUGGACAAGGUGAAUCUGUUCACAACCUGAAAUACUUACUCAAAUAUAAGUGAACAUAUUAUUGAGAGUUCAUGAAAGUGGGUGUGCAUGGGAUGAAAAGGGACUUCUCGUUCCAUGGACAUCCACUUAUAUAUCUUUCAGUGAAAAUGAACUAGAAAUUCUGGGAACUUGUGUUUUAUCAAUUAUAAUAUUUCUACUUGAAAAAGGCCAAACAAACUGCACAAGAUGGAUCAGUUCACUCACAACAUGAAAUACUUACUCAAAUAUAUGUGAACUUAUUAUUAAAAGUUCAUGAAAGUGGUUGUGCAUGGGGUGAAAAGGGACUUCUCAUCCCAUGGACAACCACUUAUAUAUCUUUCAAUGAAAAUGAUCCAGAAAUAUUUAAAACUUGUGUUUUAUCAAUUGUUUAUAGUAUUUCGACUUGUAAACUAUUAAACAAACUGGAAAAGAUGGAUCUAUUCACUCACAACAUGAAAUACUUACUCAAAUAUAUGUGAACUUAUUAUUGAAAAUUCAUGAAAGUGGGUGUGCAUGGGGUGAAAAGGGACUUUUCAUCCCAUGGACACCCACUUAUAUAUCUUUCAGUGAAAAUGAUCCAAAAAUACUAAUAACUUGUGUUUUAUUAAUUGUUUAUAAAUUUCUACAUGAAAAAAGCCAAACAAACUGCACAAGAUGGAUC